This is a long non-coding RNA of Myotis myotis, 4329 nucleotides long. RefSeq lists it as uncharacterized. The record is from RefSeq and is a predicted model, not a curated record. NCBI's taxonomy places the organism in Eukaryota, Metazoa, Chordata, Mammalia, Chiroptera, Vespertilionidae. The transcript is spliced from 2 exons.
UAGCCCACCCUCUGGCCAUAGGGCAGCAGCCAGGGAAGCAUCCCACCCAGAGCACAGGCCCCUUAGACCCCCUGAGCCAGUCCGGAAGCUCCCACCACUUCAUGUGAAAUACAUCAGAAGAUGUGGGUGUUGGGGCCAGGAGGGCUUCCUGGAGAGUUCAGAGACCAGAGCCCCCAAGGGACCUUGGGUGAUGCAGGGAGGGCUUCCUGAAGGAAGGGUUUUUAAGGGCCCCUUCAUGGAUGAGUAGAAGGUGGUGAGGCAGAGAAGGAGAAGGGCUUUCAAGAGGAGGAAGCAACAAGGAGCCAAGUGGUAGGGCUGGACCCUGUGUGUGGCCGUGUGGCUGGGAAGAAGUCAGGGACCUCACCUAGGGCUUUAUGGGCAGGGGCCCUCCUGGUGGUAAGCCAAGUGGUUUUCUGGGCAUUUGGGGAGCGCUGCAGCAGAAAGCAAGAGAUUCAUUCUGGUUUUGUCCCUGUGGGUCCUUCUGAGGACAAGGAGAGGGCAUCUGUGGUACCUGAGUGUCACAGCACCUCUUCAGCACUUGCUAAUCUCCCUCUUUAACUAAGAAUCCCCACCUGGGCAGCACCCUCCCCUGGAUGAGAAAAGCACCAGGGUAGCUGGGCAGGGCAAAGGAGGAGUGAUCCACAAGUGCCUAUCACAGGGCAGGGCUCAGUGGGCACUAGAGCCAGCAGCCCUGCAGCCGGGAUGAUCCUCUUGUCCUCUGGCCCCAAGCAAGGAGGAAACGGUGGAAACUCCAGGAUGGAUUUCGGCUUUGUGGAAGGGGCCUGAUUGGGCUCCACAGUGGGAUGGAGCCUAUGGUGUUUAGAGCAGUCUCUGGAGGCAGUGAGCUUCCUGUCACUGGAGGCAUUCAAGCAGCAGUUGACUCUUCAGAGGUUAGACUGCUGGGAGGCAGUUAAUAAUUGGAAGGAGGAGGGGGUGGGCUGGGAGCUCUGUGGCUCUGGUCUCUGAACUCUCAGAGUGUAAAGAAAACCUGUGAGCAGCGACAGGACAACGGCAGGGUGGCUGAGGGCUUGGGGUCUCAGCAUGUUCUGAGUGGAGUCUGCACCCAUCUCCUGUGCUCCCUCCUGGGGAUAAUCAGCCCCUUUCCAAGGUGGACAGGUGUGUGUUCCAAACUCUCUGCCCACACGGUGCUGUGUGCCCAUGCUUACACACAACACCUCCUUUCCUCCCCCUCCCACCCUGUGAGGCAGGACUGCUGCCCCUGUUCUACAGAUGAGGAAACGGGUGAAGUGACUUGCCAAAGCCAUCCAAAUCAAACAGCAGAGGGAGAACUGGAACCAAUGUCUGCCCAACCCCAGGGACCCCUGCAGGCUCCAUAAGGACAGGGCUGAGGAGUCCGGAGACACCGGCCUCCCCUCCCACCUGCAGCUCCUCUCUGGAAGUUUUGUCCUCCUGGGGCCUGGGGCACAGGAGGCGCUAUCUCUGCCUUGGCGCCGAGUGUCCAGACGCAACGUACAAGAUGAUUGAUUUCUUAAAGAUACGCGAGCCUUUCUGAUACUUCAUUUAUUGUCUAAAUAUUUUUGCUAACGUUUCAGUGGGCCCCUUAUCGAGCUCAGCUGAUGGGUCCCAGUUCUCUCCCCCAAGCACCUCCUGCCCCAAUCAUCCUAUCAGCCGCCUGGCGGUAUUCACUCUUUCAAGAGGGGGGAGGGGGAGGGCCGCCGAAGGGGUGUAUUGGCCCUUUCCUGCUGGGGGCGCAGGCUGGAGAGGGGAUAAGGUGGCCGGACUCUGGGAGCGGGAGCUUUAGGAAGGACACAGAGGGCACAGAGCCUGGCGGGGGAUUAAAAGUUGGUUCUGGCACCAACCUGCUGUGUUAACUCAGGCAGGUCCUUCCCUGAUCCAGCAGCAGUUUCCACUGUUGAAAACGAGGGCUUGGAGGCCCAGCCAGCUCUAAAAUUUGCAGUCAGUACAAGAGAAAUGUUCAGGAUGGAUGGUGGAUGGAUGGGUGGAUGAGUGGAUGGUGGAUGGAUGGGUAGAUAAAUGCAUGACAGAUAGAUGGAUGGGUGGAUAAAUGAAUGAAUGAAUGGGCAAAUGAAUGAACAAACUUUCACCCCCAGCUUGGUCCACACUUGCUUGGCCCAUCUGUGUCCAGGGCUCACCCACUUUAGCCAUAAGACCAUCACAACAUCAGUGAGGGACCCCAUGGUGGCCAAGCAGGGCAACAGGUUCACUGGGGAAAGACCCUGCCUGAGAGGUUGAAGUGGGACCCCCUGGGCCCUGACCUACCAUGUGGCCCCAGGUGUCUUUGCCCCGGAUCAGUGUAGAGGGUGGGCCUCCUUGGUCCUUCACCUAGAGAUGGAGGUGGAGGUGGGGCUGGGGCCCUUGGCUCUGAGCAGCUUUCCAUGCAGGAAGCCUCGAAGGCUGGCAUCAGGGGUCACUGCCAUGGCAGAGCCAAACCUCACGACAGAGCAAGCUCUGGCCAGAAGCCUGGGGGGGGGGGGGGGGCGGCGCUGAGGCAGGGUGCCUGGGUACACGCCUGGUGAUGCCCCUCGCUCCCUCUUUGAUUCUCAUUUACAUUUGUUUGUAAUAGGGAAGAAUGCCCCCUGCCCAUCUCUGCACUGCUUUCCCCUGACGUCUGGGACACCCAACCUGGGUGUGGGGGGCUGUGAGCUCUUUACCCUGGUCGGGAGGCACUGCAAGCUGCCCUGCAUCCUGCUUAGUGCACCUGCUGAAACAUUUCCCAGCAUUCCACGUCAGGGCGGCUUCUUCCCCUCGCGCCAGGUGCUGCUGGCUGCAGCUGUCCAGCCUCCAUGUUCCCACCUGGACAUGUUGUGACACACCCUGACAGCAGGCGGUUCCGACCCACUAAGAUCUGGGCACAGCAAGGCAGCACCGGAGCUGGCCUGCCAGCUAUGCCUGCCCACGUCCCUGCCCCACCACUGCCUCCUUACUUGCCAGCCCGUGGGCCUGUCCAUGCCCCUGCUGCUCCCGGGGACCUCUUCCAGCCAUCGCAACCCAUUGUCCUCUGCUCAGUAUACCCAGCAGCCCAUGGGACCUCACAGGAAAUGCCCUGUGGCUCUGCUGCUCCCUUCCCCUUCCCACAUUACUGAGGGGUAGCCUGGCCCAGACCUGGGGUGCCAACAGGUCACUAGGACCAUGAUGGUCAGGCCCUGGACGAGAGCUUUACCCUGGCACUGUUAACUCACCUUGGCCAUGAGGCGGUUCAGAGAGGACCCCAGAAUGUAAGAGUUUCCCAUGGCUGCUGUAACAAAGUGCCACAACCUGGUGUCUUAAGCGAAUUAUAGUCUCUCCUAGUUCUGAGGCCAGGGGGUGGCAGGGCUGGUUUCUUCUGGGUCUCGGAGGAAGGAUGCAUUCCAGGCCUCUCCUCAGCUUCUGGUGGCUGCUGGUGGUCCUUGGGGUUCCUUGGCUCGGAGAUGUAUCAGUCCCACCUCUGCCUCUUCUCUCCCUGUCAUUGGAUUUGAGACCCACAUGGAUAAUUCAGGAUGAUUUCACCUGGCUUUCCUUAAUUUAGUCACAUCUGCCAAGACCCUUUUUCCUAACAAGGUCACAUUUGGGCUCUGGGUGGACAUAUCUUUGGGGGCCACAUCCAGCCGGCUCCACAGAGCCAGCUGUCAGCAGAGCGAGGGCCCAGCCAGGUUGGCCCCUGGUUCUGCAUAGGACAGCCCCGAGGGGAUGCUCAGGUCUGGGCUUGGCUGGAACACCGGGGUAGGGAAGAGGGCAUUGUGGGGUGUCCUGGAGACAAGCUCCAGACAGGAGACCUGCUGUUGGCUUUCCUAGGUCCCUGGCACCCUUCCUCUCCAUGCCUCAGCUUCCCUACCUGCAGCUGUGGGAGCUGGGAAAGUGCCACAGGGUAUGGGAGGUGCUGUUGGCAAGAAGGGGCUCCAGCUACAGAGUCAACCCAGACUGGCCUCCAGGGGAUCCAGGAGGAGGACUCAGCCGGUGACAAAGACCCGGGACCCCUCCCACCACACCAGAACGACUAUUGUCCCCUCCCCUAUUGUCUGCCUCCUCCAAGUCCCAUUCCCACAGAUGCCCACACAGUGCCCCUCCUCACCCCUCCAGGCCUCACCCCACCGUCCUGGCUACAGCUGCCCGUACCCAGCCCCUGCCCACCAGGCCGCAGCCCUUCUCAGCCUUGUCCUGUUUCUCCAGCACUUUCUCUUCCAGCCUCCACAGCUUCUUUCUUGGUGGGCUUCCCACUCCAGCAUCCUGCCGAGACAUCAGGGACUGCAUGUUCUGUUCAUGGUGUCCCUGCACCUGGCACAAAGCAUGCCCUCAUUCAUUCGGGACUAUUUGCCGAAGAAUGAAUGAAUGAAUGAAUGAAUGAAUGAAUGAAUGAAUGAAUGAAAGAAA